GACGAACGCUGGCGGCGUGCCUAAUACAUGCAAGUCGAACGAAGCUGUUUUAACUGGUGCUUGCACCGACUUAAACAACUGAGUGGCGAACGGGUGAGUAACACGUGGGUAACCUGCCCCAAAGCGGGGGAUAACAUUUGGAAACAGAUGCUAAUACCGCAUAACCACAGAAACCACAUGGUUUCUGUGUCAAAGAUGGUUUCGGCUAUCACUUUAGGAUGGACCCGCGGCGUAUUAGCUAGUUGGUAAGGUAAUGGCUUACCAAGGCAAUGAUACGUAGCCGAACUGAGAGGUUGAUCGGCCACAUUGGGACUGAGACACGGCCCAAACUCCUACGGGAGGCAGCAGUAGGGGAUCUUCCACAAUGGACGAAAGUCUGAUGGAGCAACGCCGCGUGAGUGAAGAAGGUUUUCGGAUCGUAAAACUCUGUUGUCAGAGAAGAACGUGUGCGAGAGUAACUGCUCGUGCAGUGACGGUAUCUGGCCAAAAAGCCACGGCUAACUACGUGCCAGCCGCCGCUGUAA
This 524-nucleotide ribosomal RNA is filed under the name uncultured bacterium. Its description in RNAcentral is "partial 16S ribosomal RNA". It matches the Rfam family "Bacterial small subunit ribosomal RNA", at positions 28 to 523 of the family's 1533-position model. The record is from RNAcentral.